GACGAACGCUGGCGGCGUGCUUAACACAUGCAAGUCGAACGGAAAGGCCCUGCUUUUGUGGGGUGCUCGAGUGGCGAACGGGUGAGUAACACGUGAGUAACCUGCCCUUGACUUUGGGAUAACUUCAGGAAACUGGGGCUAAUACCGGAUAGGAGCCCCUGCUGCAUGGAGGGGGUUGGAAAGUUUCGGCGGUUGGGGAUGGACUCGCGGCUUAUCAGCUUGUUGGUGGGGUAGUGGCUUACCCAGGCUUUGACGGGUAGCCGGCCUGAGAGGGUGGCCGGCCACAUUGGGCCUGAGGUACGGCCCAGAGUCCUACGGGAGGCAGCAGUGGGGAAUAUUGCACAAUGGGCGGAAGCCGGAUGCAGCAACCCCGCGUGCGGGAUGACGGCCUUCGGGUUGUAAACCGCUUUCGCCUGUGACGAAGCGUGAGUGACGGUAAUGGGUAAAGAAGCACCGGCUAACUACGUG
Molecule: ribosomal RNA, 468 nt
Filed under: uncultured bacterium
Lineage: Bacteria
Description: partial 16S ribosomal RNA
Rfam family: Bacterial small subunit ribosomal RNA
Source: RNAcentral